This is a small nucleolar RNA of Tachyglossus aculeatus (Australian echidna), 138 nucleotides long. Lineage: Eukaryota; Metazoa; Chordata; Mammalia; Monotremata; Tachyglossidae. The record is from RefSeq and is a predicted model, not a curated record.
UCUCUCUCAGGGCCACACCUGGAGAGUUUCCAGUACUCUACCAGUCUCAGCUAUGGGAGGGAGAGUCAAGCAGAGGCAUAUCCAUUCUGUUACUAGCUUGGGCAGUGGCUAAUGAGUAGAAGGCAAUCUGCUACAAGU